GGCUCAGAUUGAACGCUGGCGGCAGGCCUAACACAUGCAAGUCGAGCGGUAGAGAGAAGCUUGCUUCUCUUGAGAGCGGCGGACGGGUGAGUAAUGCCUAGGAAUCUGCCUAGUGGUGGGGGAUAACGUUCGGAAACGGACGCUAAUACCGCAUACGUCCUACGAGAGAAAGCGGGGGAUCUUCGGACCUCGCGCCAUUAGAUGAGCCUAGGUCGGAUUAGCUAGUUGGUGAGGUAAUGGCUCACCAAGGCGACGAUCCGUAACUGGUCUGAGAGGAUGAUCAGUCACACUGGAACUGAGACACGGUCCAGACUCCUACGGGAGGCAGCAGUGGGGAAUAUUGGACAAUGGGCGAAAGCCUGAUCCAGCCAUGCCGCGUGUGUGAAGAAGGUCUUCGGAUUGUAAAGCACUUUAAGUUGGGAGGAAGGGCAGUAACCUAAUACGUUAUUGUUUUGACGUUACCGACAGAAUAAGCACCGGCUAACUUCGUG
This 491-nucleotide ribosomal RNA is filed under the name uncultured bacterium. RNAcentral describes it as "bacterial SSU rRNA". It matches the Rfam family "Bacterial small subunit ribosomal RNA", at positions 21 to 507 of the family's 1533-position model. The record is from RNAcentral.